GAUGUUCACAAUCUAUAAGCAUCGAUUCCUGCAAUGGCUGAGCGAGAUCCAGUUCAAUAAGCACACGAAUGAAAUGGCCGACCUCUCCAUAAGCUGAUACACCAUCAAUUUUGAUUGGAAAACCAAUAAUUCUAGCGAUUGCUGUUAUUACCUCAGGAUCCCAAAACUCAUUCGGAAGGUAAUAAAUCCGAACCCAAACUUGACAAAUAGAAGAGACUUCCUUGUAGGGAUUGAAACAUGGCACCCAAUCGCGGAGGCGGAUGGAACCCGCAGCCAGAUCCCAAACAAUUUUGGUUUUCGCAAGUUUUUAUCUUCAAGAGUAGAGAAUUUCAUGGUGAAGAAACCCUUACCCAAAGUGAGAAGCUUCCACUCUGAUUGGAUACCCCACAAAUUGUUGAGUUCAAGCUUCAACUGAUGUGUCGCCUGUGGCUUGCUUCCUUUCCGUAGUAACACCCUUCCAAUAACAGAGAAUUUGAAUUCAGCAAUACGUUUUUGAUACAUC
This 502-nucleotide long non-coding RNA is filed under the name Salvia miltiorrhiza (redroot sage). RNAcentral describes it as "long non-coding RNA (SMIL_LNC000356)". Lineage: Eukaryota; Viridiplantae; Streptophyta; Magnoliopsida; Lamiales; Lamiaceae. The record is from RNAcentral.